GACGAACGCUGGCGGCGUGCCUAAUACAUGCAAGUCGAGCGCAGGAAGUCAUCCGAACCCUUCGGGGGGACGUUGACGGAAUGAGCGGCGGACGGGUGAGUAACACGUAAAGAACCUGCCCUCAGGUCUGGGAUAACCACGAGAAAUCGGGGCUAAUACCGGAUGGGUCAUCGGACCGCAUGGUCCGAGGAUGAAAGGCGCUCCGGCGUCGCCUGGGGAUGGCUUUGCGGUGCAUUAGCUAGUUGGUGGGGUAAUGGCCCACCAAGGCGACGAUGCAUAGCCGACCUGAGAGGGUGAUCGGCCACACUGGGACUGAGACACGGCCCAGACUCCUACGGGAGGCAGCAGUAGGGAAUCUUCCACAAUGGACGAAAGUCUGAUGGAGCAACGCCGCGUGAACGAUGAAGGCCCUCGGGUCGUAAAGUUCUGUCGUAAGGGAAGAACAAGUGCCGCAGGCAAUGGCGGCACCUUGACGGUACCUUGCGAGAAAGCCACGGCUAACUACGUG
Molecule: ribosomal RNA, 508 nt
Filed under: uncultured bacterium
Lineage: Bacteria
Description: partial 16S ribosomal RNA
Rfam family: Bacterial small subunit ribosomal RNA
Source: RNAcentral